This 852-nucleotide ribosomal RNA is filed under the name Staphylococcus sp. M_A_12/10_1_1. Its description in RNAcentral is "bacterial SSU rRNA". It matches the Rfam family "Bacterial small subunit ribosomal RNA", at positions 25 to 858 of the family's 1533-position model. The record is from RNAcentral. Lineage: Bacteria; Bacillati; Bacillota; Bacilli; Caryophanales; Staphylococcaceae.
CAGGAUGAACGCUGGCGGCGUGCCUAAUACAUGCAAGUCGAGCGAACAGACGAGGAGCUUGCUCCUCUGACGUUAGCGGCGGACGGGUGAGUAACACGUGGAUAACCUACCUAUAAGACUGGGAUAACUUCGGGAAACCGGAGCUAAUACCGGAUAACAUGUUGAACCGCAUGGUUCAACAGUGAAAGACGGUCUUGCUGUCACUUAUAGAUGGAUCCGCGCCGCAUUAGCUAGUUGGUAAGGUAACGGCUUACCAAGGCAACGAUGCGUAGCCGACCUGAGAGGGUGAUCGGCCACACUGGAACUGAGACACGGUCCAGACUCCUACGGGAGGCAGCAGUAGGGAAUCUUCCGCAAUGGGCGAAAGCCUGACGGAGCAACGCCGCGUGAGUGAAGAAGGUCUUCGGAUCGUAAAACUCUGUUAUUAGGGAAGAACAAAUGUGUAAGUAACUAUGCACGUCUUGACGGUACCUAAUCAGAAAGCCACGGCUAACUACGUGCCAGCAGCCGCGGUAAUACGUAGGUGGCAAGCGUUAUCCGGAAUUAUUGGGCGUAAAGCGCGCGUAGGCGGUUUUUUAAGUCUGAUGUGAAAGCCCACGGCUCAACCGUGGAGGGUCAUUGGAAACUGGAAAACUUGAGUGCAGAAGAGGAAAGUGGAAUUCCAUGUGUAGCGGUGAAAUGCGCAGAGAUAUGGAGGAACACCAGUGGCGAAGGCGACUUUCUGGUCUGUAACUGACGCUGAUGUGCGAAAGCGUGGGGAUCAAACAGGAUUAGAUACCCUGGUAGUCCACGCCGUAAACGAUGAGUGCUAAGUGUUAGGGGGUUUCCGCCCCUUAGUGCUGCAGCUAACGC